RNAcentral lists this long non-coding RNA (740 nucleotides) under Heterocephalus glaber (naked mole-rat). RNAcentral's name for it is "lncRNA (ENSHGLG00100037560.1)". Lineage: Eukaryota; Metazoa; Chordata; Mammalia; Rodentia; Bathyergidae. The record is from RNAcentral.
CUUCCAGUACACAGUGUCCCCAUUUGCCUGAGGGACAUGUGUUCCAAGACCCCAGGGGACACCGGAGACCGCAGGACCUGCUAUGCUGUUACUGGAUCCAAGACCAGCAGCUUGCCACAUACCAGGCCAAUUUAGUCCAGAGACAAGGUGCUGAAGCAAGGAAGAUGACUUUAUCUGAAAGGCCAGCUCAGUGACAAGAUGGAGAACUCUUAUCCAGAGUUCAUCUUGCCGGGAAGCUGAGAGUCUCACUAUGUAGUCCAGGCUGGCCUCAAACUUGUGGCAAUCCUCCUGCCUCGGCCUCACAAGUGCUGGAAUUACAGAAAUGUGUCACCAUGCCCAGCAAAGUCUUUGUUUCUAGCACUACUACCAGCAACACCAUAACAAAAAGAAGAAUGAACUGAAAAUCACCUCUUCUUUGAAGAAAGAAAUCUUCAAUACUAAAUAGACUUCAAUACCAAUAGAAAUCUUCAAAACUAAAAAGGAAAGGGAAGAGAGAACCAAAAUAUGGAACAGUAUCUCCAAGAACUGUAGGACAAUUCCAAAAUGUCUAGGUAUGUGUCGUGAGAACACCAGAAGAAGAGAGAGAAAGAAACAGAAAAAAAUCCUUGACGCAUUAGUGACUGUGAAUUUCUGAGAAUUAAUACUAAACUGCAAACCACAGAUCCAGGAAGCUCAGAGAACACCAAGCAGGAUGAAUACCAAACUGAUAAGUGAGCCUUUGGAAUUGCUCAGUACAGCUG